This 250-nucleotide ribosomal RNA is filed under the name uncultured bacterium. RNAcentral's name for it is "partial 16S ribosomal RNA". It matches the Rfam family "Bacterial small subunit ribosomal RNA", at positions 524 to 773 of the family's 1533-position model. The record is from RNAcentral.
GACGGAGGAUGCAAGUGUUAUCCGGAAUCACUGGGCGUAAAGCGUCUGUAGGUGGUUUAAAAAGUCCACUGUUAAAAAUUGAAGCUUAACUUCAAAGAUGCCGUGGAAACUUUUAAACUUGAGUAUGGUAGGGGUAGAGGGAAUUUCCAGUGGAGCGGUGAAAUGCGUAGAUAUUGGAAAGACCACCAAUGGCGAAGGCACUCUACUGGGCCAUUACUGACACUGAGAGACGAAAGCUAGGGGAGCAAAU